CCCCCCUCCACGAUCCGUCUGAUGGUCAUUCCCACCAAACCUGGAGGUUUUAUACCUUGACAUGUAGCAGCCAGCACCCUCGUUCUUCCAGCUAUUCUCAUCCCAUGUUUUCCAAUCUCCACCAGUUGUAUCAUUGAAAUUAUUCCACUGCUUAUAAUUACUGUCCCACUCGUAAUUAUUCUUCCAUCUAUAUGAAUCACUCCAACAAUUUGCCCAUUCAUUAUCAAUCAUGGCUCCAUUGGCCUGAGAAACAUUGCUCUCCCGGGGGUUUCCAUUAUUACCCUUUUGAUUACAAUCUCUAAAUCCAGGAUACAAAGCUGCAGUGGCUGUCUUUUGCACCUCCUCUUCAGCCUCCCCCCAUCCGGUGCACGAAAAUGACUGAUUCAGGAGAGAACUACCAAAAAUCACAACUUCCUCCUCUUUAUCUUUCUCAUCAGGAUAUUUGGGCUCCCGUUCCAAAUCUAAGUACAAUUCAGGGUCAAUGUUGGAAUUCCAGUCAAUUUCAUCAAUAUAAAUAUCAGGAUCGGGCAAUGAUAUGUCACAAUGAAGACCAUUAAUCUUCGCCCAAAACCGGUUUUUAGCAUUGUGAAAAGCCUCUUCACCAGCAGAGUCAUUCCACUGAACUACAUUCUCAUAGAGGUACAUAAAUUUUUUGGUUUCCAAUAGC
Molecule: unclassified non-coding RNA, 667 nt
Filed under: Hevea brasiliensis (rubber tree)
Lineage: Eukaryota; Viridiplantae; Streptophyta; Magnoliopsida; Malpighiales; Euphorbiaceae
Source: RNAcentral